This 468-nucleotide ribosomal RNA is filed under the name uncultured bacterium. Its description in RNAcentral is "partial 16S ribosomal RNA". It matches the Rfam family "Bacterial small subunit ribosomal RNA", at positions 28 to 507 of the family's 1533-position model. The record is from RNAcentral.
GACGAACGCUGGCGGCGUGCUUAACACAUGCAAGUCGAACGGAAAGGCCCUGCUUUUGUUGGGUGCUCGAGUGGCGAACGGGUGAGUAACACGUGAGUAACCUUCCCUUGACUUUUGGAUAACUUCAGGAAACUGUGGCUAAUACCGGAUAGGAUCUCCUGCUGCAUGGUGGGGGUUGGAAAGUUUCGGCGGUUGGGGAUGGACUCGCGGCUUAUCAGCUUGUUGGUGGGGUAGUGGCUUACCAAGGCUUUGACGGGUAGCCGGCCUGAGAGGGUGACCGGCCGGAUUGGGAGUGAGAGAGGGACCAGACUCAUACGGGAGGCAGGAGGGGGGAAUAAUGAACAAGGGGCGGAAGCAUGAUGCAGCAACGGCGCGUGCGGGAUGAAGGCCUUCGGGUUGUAAACCGCUUUCGCUUGUGACGAAGCGUGAGUGACGGUAAUGGGUAAAGAAGCACCGGCUAACUACGUG